Molecule: RNase P RNA, 446 nt
Filed under: Hyphomonadaceae bacterium
Lineage: Bacteria; Pseudomonadati; Pseudomonadota; Alphaproteobacteria; Hyphomonadales; Hyphomonadaceae
Description: RNase P RNA component class A
Rfam family: Bacterial RNase P class A
About the family: Ribonuclease P (RNase P) is a ubiquitous endoribonuclease, found in archaea, bacteria and eukarya as well as chloroplasts and mitochondria.
Source: RNAcentral
AGUCGGUGUCGGGCGGCCGCGUGCGUGGGGCUGAGUCACCUCGGUGAUUUAGGGACGCAUGAGGAAAGUCCGGGCUCCAUGCAGGCACGACGGCGGGUAAUUCCCGCCGGGGGCUGCGCAAGCGGCCUUCAGGGAUAGCGCCACAGAGAUUAGUCCGCCGCCCGGGUCGCUGGAUUUAUCCGGAGAUUUGGGAGGCAAGGGUGAAAAGGUGGGGUAAGAGCCCACCGCUGCGACCGCAAGGAAGCAGGCACGGCAAGCCCCGUCGGGAGCAAGACCGAAUAGGACCGCGCGCUUCGGGUCACACUGGAGCAGGCCUGUCUGCGGGCCGCGGUCGGGUUGGUCGCGAGAACCGGUCCGCGAGGGCCGGUCCAGAGGAAUGGUCGCCGCCCCGCCAUGGGAACACUUUGGCGGGGGCACAGAACCCGGCUUAUAGACACCGGCUGACA